This 1277-nucleotide long non-coding RNA is filed under the name Homo sapiens (human). RNAcentral describes it as "PREDICTED lncRNA (TCONS_00170851)". Lineage: Eukaryota; Metazoa; Chordata; Mammalia; Primates; Hominidae. The record is from RNAcentral.
CGUAGCUUCCUUGUCGUGUGGCCUCAGUCCUUCGCCGUCCCUCGCCGUCCUUCGCCAUCGCACGCCACCGCACCCCAUCUCUCGAAAUCUGCAGACAUCUUGAUUUUUCCCACGCUGUCUGUCAGGUCUCCGCCGCCACUCGACGCCAGGGCGCCGGGUGAGUCCACAGCAGGGCGCAUGGUCGGCUCCACUCUCACCAUCGGGGGAAACUGAGGCCCCGGGGAAGGCGGCCAGAGAGGUCAGGCCCUGUCCUUGGUGCAGUGUCUCGUCCUCUUUGCCGGAGUGAGCCCCCCAGGAUUCGCGUGUCCUCGGGAAAGACACUGGCAGGCCUUGUGGGCUGUGCUGCACCUCGGACGGCUUCGCACCAGCCAGCGCCCUCUCUCUCCUGCAGCACUCUGAUCUGCACCCCCUGAGGGGCUUCCACUGUCCGCGGGGUGAGAAUGCCCCUGGGAGUGUCACAUGACUGCCGCCCCAUGUGUGUGAGAGGCGUCCUCUGGGAGAGCAUGGAUCCUGAGGUCCCAGGAUUGUCAGCUGACCUCUGUCCUGUGUGCCCAGUGGCCCCAGGUGACGUGUCUUCAAGAAGAGGCUGAGCUGCGGUGCUUGUAAGGGUCUCAUUCUGUCACCCAGGCUGGAGUGCAGUGGUGCAAUGAUGGCUCACUGCAGCCUCGACCUGGGCUCAAGUGAUCCUCCACCUCAGCUUCCUGAGUAGCUGGGACCACAGAGUCAUGUGCUGUUCCUGGGGCUUGGAUGAUGUAGGGGAAGCAAGGUGAAAGUGGUAUCCCGUGGUUCCACGUUCUGUCCUGCUGUGGGGCUGUCCCUCACAUGCUUUCAGUGGCUGUUGCAGAGGAAGAGCCUCCGGAAAUCUGCGUGGGUCUCAGCCUUAGAUCCAAGGACAGUCCAAGGAAGUCCUAAGACCAUGGAGUUGGUGAUCUGGGAUCUGGGUUUGCUGAUAUUUCUCACCGUGAAUCUCUUGGUGGUGUUUGUGGGCACGAGAGGGGCAGAGAAUGGAGAGUGAGGCUACCACAUGAAGCGUCACCAGAGCUGCUCCCUGCUGCCUGCUCAGAGCACCCCGGAUCCACUGUUCAAUCUGCACAAGAUUCGGGGUCCAGACAUGGGAGACUUCAGCUGCCUCAGAGGACCGUGGACAGGGAAGGCCAGCCUCGCAUCCCUCUGUCCAUGCCUGGAAUGACUUUAAUAACCAAGAGUUUUAUUUUUGAAUUUGUAGCUGUCGUUCACUUUUUACCCACCCAUUCAAUAAACCUUACAGAAUUGCUCCA